UGGGGAAUAUUGCACAAUGGGCGCAAGCCUGAUGCAGCCAUGCCGCGUGUAUGAAGAAGGCCUUCGGGUUGUAAAGUACUUUCAGCGAGGAGGAAGGCGUUGUGGUUAAUAACCGCAACGAUUGACGUUACUCGCGGAAGAAGCACCGGCUAACUCCGUGCCAGCAGCCGCGGUAAUACGGAGGGUGCAAGCGUUAAUCGGAAUUACUGGGCGUAAAGCGCACGCAGGCGGUCUGUCAAGUCGGAUGUGAAAUCCCCGGGCUCAACCUGGGAACUGCAUCCGAAACUGGCAGGCUAGAGUCUUGUAGAGGGGGGUAGAAUUCCAGGUGUAGCGGUGAAAUGCGUAGAGAUCUGGAGGAAUACCGGUGGCGAAGGCGGCCCCCUGGACAAAGACUGACGCUCAGGUGCGAAAGCGUGGGGAGCAAACA
Molecule: ribosomal RNA, 427 nt
Filed under: uncultured bacterium
Lineage: Bacteria
Description: partial 16S ribosomal RNA
Rfam family: Bacterial small subunit ribosomal RNA
Source: RNAcentral